GUCUACGGCCAUGCCACCCUGAACAAGGCCAAUCCCAUCUGAUCUCGGAAGCUAAGCAGGGUCGGGCUUAGCUUAGCUGGUUGGAUGGGAGACCACCUAGAUAGACCAGGUACUGUAGGUG
Molecule: ribosomal RNA, 121 nt
Organism: Pteropus vampyrus (large flying fox)
Lineage: Eukaryota; Metazoa; Chordata; Mammalia; Chiroptera; Pteropodidae
Source: Ensembl